Molecule: long non-coding RNA, 6198 nt
Filed under: Sus scrofa (pig)
Lineage: Eukaryota; Metazoa; Chordata; Mammalia; Artiodactyla; Suidae
Description: lncRNA (ENSSSCG00035001669.1)
Source: RNAcentral
CAAAGAUCAAGUGGGGUGGGGGGAAUUUCUUAACUGUCACUGUUUUCCCAGAGCACAUGGGUCAGGUAAAGUUAAACAUUAUCAAAAUGAAUGAAAGCAAAUGUGCAAUAUAGGCAGAUAGAUAGAUGGAUAGAUAGAUAGAUAGAUGAUAGAUGGAUAGAUAGAUAGAUAGAUAGAGCAGUGGGACUUCCUCUCCUCUUUUAUUUUUAAUCAGCUUUUUAUCCCUAACAAACAGUAGAUGAGCAGUACUGGGAAUAAUUGUUUAAAAAGAAAAGAUAAGCCUGUGUAUAAAGAACUACCAUAUGACCCAGCAAUAACACUCUUGAGCAUAUAUCUGGACAAAUGCAUCCACAUGUUCAUUGCAGCAUUAUUCAUAAUAGCCAGGACAUGGAAACAACCCAAAUGUCCAUCAAGAGGUGAUUGGAUUAGGAAGAUGUGGUAUAUAUACACAUAGACUAGAAUACUACUCAGCCAUAAAAAAAUAAUAAUAAUGCCAUUUGCAGCAACAUGGAUGGAACUAGAGACUCUCAUAUUGAGUGAAGUGAGUCAGAAAGAGAAAGACAAAUAGCAUAUGAUAUCACUUAUAUUUGGAAUCUCUUCUAUGGCACAAAUGAACCUUUCCACAGAAGAGAAAAUCAUGGUCUUGGAGAAUAGACUUGUCGUUGCCUGGGGGGAGGGGGAGGGAGUGGGAUGGAUUGAGAGCUUGGAGUUAAUAGAUGCAGACUAUUGCCUUUGGAAUGGAUUAGCAAUGAGAUCCUACUGUGUAGCACUGGGAAGUAUGUCUAGUCACUUAUGAUGGAGCAUGAUAAUGUGAGAAAAAAGAAUAUACACAUGUGUGUUUAACUGGGUCACCAUGCUAUACAGUAGAAAAAAAAUGUAUUGGGGAAAUAACAAUUGAUUACAAUUUUUUAAAAAAUCCUUAGCUUAUUGUUUUGGUUAGGGCACUGUGUUUUAUUUGAUUCUAACACCUUGUUACUCAAGUUAGUCUUUGGUACAAAGUAGGUGCUCAGUAAAUGGUUAUUAGUUGACUGAAUUGCCUUCUAGUUGUGGUUAGCAUUCUCUUUUCACUAGGGGAUAUGGGUGUACCUUCCGACAUGGGGCUUGUCAAAACGUGGCAAAGUUUGAACCAGCCAUCCUGGUUUAUCUGUCUCCAGUAUUUUUAAGAAGCCACCCUUGUCAUUAGUGCAGGAGGACUUUUCCUAAGACACAGAGGAUGCAGGUGACACUUGCCCAAAUACAGCACAGGUAGACGCCCAGACGGUACUAGUUCUUGGUCGAAAGAAGACAGGUUCUUUUAUGCUUGCCUGAUGGAGCUUGACACUUCACUCACAGAGGACAGAGCUUUUCACGUCACAGAUCAUUUUGGCCUUGGCAGCCAGGGUCCUCCUCCUCCUGGUCACAGUUCACUGGAGCUGAAAAAAGCUGAGGCCUAAGAUGCACCUGGAAUCAGGGCAUGUGAAGCCAACUCUGGCCAUGGCUGUAAUGUGCCUCGGCUUGUGCCAGGAGCCAUGAUGUAUGUGAGGCUAAUUAGAACAAGUUUGAAAAGGCGAGCUUCCCUAGGGACAGCACUCUGAGGUGAUUUUCUCCUGUGACAGGGAGCGUGUAUUUGCAGGGAAAAUCAAAAUUUUCAUGGAAAGAGAAGCUUAGAGAUAAAGCUUCAUUCCGCAUUGCACGUGGCCCGGUCCUCCUUAGGCGAGACUUUUGGAAGAUGCUGAGACCAGACUGUACAUCUUCACCAACUGGUCACCCUGAGCUGAGCACCAUCUGGAAAAGUUCAGUAUCUUGCUUUGCUGCUUGACCUGAUAGUCUCUAACUUCCCCAGGGUAACCUAGAGAGGUGUUGUUUCUCCCCCUCAUAUGCACUAUGAGCAGUUAAUCAACUGGUACCGGUAUGCUCUCUUAAGGUCACUUGUUCCAGGAGUCUCUCUUUCUUCUUGGUGCAGGGCUUUUCCCUUUGGCUAUUCCAGGAUGUCUUCUGACACCAACCACCAGCUCUCCCAUUCUCCAGACUCCAGAUGGGCAUUCAGUAAUUCAAUUCAAUUUGACACUAACUACCCAGAGUCAGCGCAGACUCCACAGGUUAAGGAUUCAUCCCACAAGACUGCUCCCACUUGGGAUGUCAGUCACAGUCCUAGGCCUCCUGUACUUCUUUGCAAAUGGCUAUAAAUCAGGGGUUCCCUCAAGCCCUUCCUAAGGGUCAACAAUUCGCUAGGACAACUGAUAGAACCCAGGAAAUCCCUUUACUUAAUAUUACCAGUUUAUGGUAAAGGAUAUGACUGAGGAGCAGCCAAAUGGAAGAGAUCAAUAGGGAAAGGGAUUGGGGGGAGGGGUGCACAGAUUUCCAUGCCCUCUCCAGGUGCUCCACCCUUCCAACACCUCCUGUGUUCACCUAUCCAGAAGCUUUCUAAACCCCAUCAUUAGGGGGGUUUUAUGGAGGUUUCAUUAUGUAUUUAUGACUAAUUAAGUUAUUGGUCAUUGGUGAUUAACUCAAGUCCCAAUCUUCUAAUCAAGGGUUGGUAUCUCUGGCCAAGUCUGCAUCCUAACACUAUCUAAGGGUCCACCAAGCGUCACUUCAUUAGAACAAAAUUAGGUCCUACUACCCUUAUCUCAGGAAAUUCCAAAGGUUCUAGGAGCUCUGUGCCUGUAAACAAGAAAAAAGACCAAAUAUCUUUCUAUGAUACCACAGUUGUGUCUUUGUGGAAAUUUUUAAGAUGUUAAUACAUCCAGCAAUAUGCCCUUCACACUAGUAGGACAUAGCAGUUCUCUAAAUAAAGUGGUUCCUGCUCUUUGUCCCAACCAGUUGAUAAACUUAACUAGCCAUGGAAUUUUGAGUUUGUGCAGUAAGAGGAAAGCACAAAAGAUGGAAAAGACUGUAUCACUUCCACUGGGAAGCUUAUGGCAAUGGUGAUAUUAAUUACUAUGUCAAUUAAAGAGUAAUCUGAGACAAUGUCUUAUCAAGUGCUGACGUAGAUAAUUUGGGGGUUUCCUUCCCAGCCCCACUGCAUCCCAUCCCAUUGUCAAAGGAACUAAGGUAUACCUUUGGUUAGGUCCCAACCAAUUGGACCAGAAUAGUGUCCAAAGAACACCAAGAUGGACUAAAAAGAACUCCAGGGUGGGGCUGGACCAAGAUGGACUAAUUAUCGUCCCUCCCAUGACACUGGAAUUUCUGUGUAUGUCUUUAAACACUUGAACCAGAAGGGCUUGCCUUCAUCCCUUCAGUCAAGGUCUUCUGCCUGUCUCUGAUGCCUUUCCUCUUUUUACCUGGAUAAAUCUUAGCAUUUUUCAGGAGCCAGCUGAGAGUAUCUUCCUCUAGGACCCCAUCUCUGUGACACUAGGUCUGUGUCCCAGUACUUCCUUGUGUUUACUUCCAUUUAACAUUUAUAGAUAAUUAUCCCAGUCACACUGUGAGCUUUUCAAGGGCAGGGACAUCCUAGAUAUUCAUGCAUAAUCUUGUUUCAGUGCCUAUUAUUUGUCCUGGCUCUCAAUGAGUCUUCAACAUUUAUUCAUUUAACUGAACCAAGAAAUGAAGUAGUCUUUUUUAAGAUAAACCAGACUAUAUCAUUCUUUUGCUAAAAAUUUGCUAAUGACUUCUUUUUUACUUAUAGUAAAAUCCAGACUUCUUACUGAGGUCCGCAAAAUCCUAGGUUUUCCAUUUCACUCUGUGCAUAAAAUAAGCCUUAAAAGAAUCACCCCAAUCCACAGGUAAAUCAAAACUUAACACUUCUAUCAAGGAAAAUGAUGAAAUACAGAUAAUCACACUAUGCCAUCCAGCAUACCAUCAAAACUUUCUAAUUAUAUGAAAAAGCAUGAAAAUAUUACCCAUAUCCAAGAGAGAAAUCAUUCAGUAGAAACGGACACAGAAAUGAAAGGGAUGCCAGGAGUAGCAGAAAGGGCUUGGAAACAGCCAUUAUGGGAGCUAAAAUAACACACUAAAUAAAUUUCCCUUAAUCUUAAAGAAUUCAGGAAAGGAGGGAGAGAGGAACAAAGAAUAGAUGGCCCAAAUAGAAAACAAAUGGCAAGAUGGUAGACCCAAACCCAGUUUAAAGUAAGUAGAUUAAAUCCUCCAAUUAAAGGGUAGAGGUUGUUUAGCUGGGAAAAAGUAAAAUUGAAAAUAAUCAUGUGGAAUAUGGCAAAUGUCCAGUUCAACCAACUAGAUUUGGAAACAUAAGUAAUAAGAUAUAAGAGUGGGAAGUUUGAUGAAACCAAGUUACGUUGGGUCAUAGAUGUCCAAACCUAUACUUUCUACAGGCACUCGUGCCUUGUGUGUGCGAAUAAAUAGCCCACUUUGUGAAAUGGAAUGACCUUCUGAAAGAACAGGUAUAAAGCUGACUUACUUUCCAGAAUAUUUUAUUUCAUAAGAAAAGUAAAUCUUAGCAUUCCCACUGUGGCAGAGUGGGACUGGAGGCAUCUCUGCAGCUCCAGGACACAGGUUCAAUCCCUGCCCAGCACAGUGGGUUAAAGGAUCUGGCAUUGCCACAGCUGCAGCAUAGGUUGCCACCACAGCUUGGAUCUGAUCCCUGGCCCAGGAACUCCAUGUGCCACAGGGCUGCCAAAAAGGAACAAGAGAGAGGAAGGGAGGGAGGUGGAGAAAGAAGGAAGAAAAGUAAAUCUUUCUCUUAUCUCCUGUUUUUUUCUUUCCUCAUAAGGAAACAGGGUGGCUGUGGUCAUGCAUUUCAGCUGCCCAAGCUCCCAGCGCAUAAAUAAGCCAGGUGACAAAAUGUUAACCUCUGUACUACAUGCUACAAUCUUUCUUUUAAAAGUGAAAAUAUAUUUGGAAACUGAAGAAAGUACUAAGUCUAAUCUUGCCUUGUCAUUAAAUCAAUAAAGAAAUUAAAGACAACAUUACUCAAACUGUGGUUCUUAGAUGACAUCACCUUUAUUUUUAUUAUUGUCAUUAUUAUUAUUGUUAUUUCAUUUUUCAGUGCCCACCACGUAUGAAGGUUCCUGGAGUUAAAGGCAUAGCAAGAUAUAGAAAAGAUAUUGCUUUUGCCUCAGCUUCAUGAAGCUGAUAUCAAUCUUUUAUUUCAUAAACUUCAGGCUGGUUAUUGCUUUAAACGCAGGCUUUGGUGCAUUAAAUGUGGCACUGACAGGAAUACAAAUAAGACAGUUCCCAAUGAUACUAAGCAGGGGGCUGGGGAAGGACUGACUUCCCUCCCACGCCUGGAGAAGGGAAUUCAGGAAAGGUCACAGAGCAGCUGGACUUUAGAGAUAAAUCUGAGCUGAACUGACUCAAUGAAUGACUCAGAGGGACAGUUUUUGCUGCUGUGUUUUUCCAGCAAGAGGAGAAAGGACAGAUGAUUUGAUUGAGCCUCCGAAGGAGGUCUGGCUGUGCUGAGGCUGAAAGAGUCCAGAUCUCAGAGGCAGAAGGUCUGGAGUUAACCCUUAAUUCAGCCCCUCAGUAGCUCAGCCCUCUGGGCCUCAGUUCGAUCUGUGACCACAGUAAAUCUCUAAAAGCCCUUUCUGGCUUGAAAUUUUUAAGGAAGUAGUACCUACUAUACAGAGCAAUCAUUUGUAUUUGGAAAAUACUUCCUGGAAUACCAGUUGCUUUGAUACUAAUCACAGCCUUAAGAAUAACGAAGGGUAGAGCUGAGUGAACUGAGGCAUCACCAGCUGAAAGAUGCAGUUAGCUAACCAAUGGAUAGACUGGUCCUUGGCUGCAGGUCUCUGGCUUCUAACCCUGUGUCCCUUAUCCCAUUCCACAAAGAGCAGAGAAGACUUAUUUAGAGGGAAUAUACAGGCAAAAUGGGGAAGUGGUGCUUUGAGUUCUUCAGGAAGGAUUUGGGAAUAUUCUUUUUUUCUUUUUUUUUUUCUUUUUGCCUUUUCUAGAGCUGCUCCCAUGGCAUAUGGAGGUUCCCAGGCUAGGGGUCUAAUUGGAGCUGUAGCCACCGGCCUAUGCCAGAGCCACAGCAACGCAGGAUCCGAGCCACAUCUGCGACCUACACCACAGUUCACGGCAACGCCAGAUCCUUAACCCACUGAGCAUGGCCAGGGAUCGAAUCCGCAACCUCAUGAUACCUAGUCAGAUUCGUUAACCACUGGACCACGAUGGGAACUCCCAGGAAUAUUCUUGUGGUGCAGUGGGUUAAGGAUCCAGUGUUGUCACUGCAACGGCUCUGGCCACUCCUGUAACUCAUGUUCCAUCCCUGGCCCAUGAACUUCCACAUGCUGGGAAAAAAAAAGAAAAAAAAAAAAAAAAAAG